Molecule: RNA transcript, 3664 nt
Organism: Notolabrus celidotus (New Zealand spotty)
Lineage: Eukaryota; Metazoa; Chordata; Actinopteri; Labriformes; Labridae
Gene name: high choriolytic enzyme 1-like
Exons: 4
Source: RefSeq, a predicted model, not a curated record
ACUGCGCUGCUGUGUUGAACUUUUGUCCUCUCAGUAAAGCUGUAUCAGCCACAUAGGCUAAUGGGCAUUGGCUUAACUUAACGCCUGUAAUCAGACUUACCUUAUAGACCCAACCUACACAACCCGAAUCCUCUUUACUGUUUAUUCAGGGUUUUUUGUUAAACGUCAAUAAGAUGACUCGUGUGGGUGAAAGUUCACUUUUGCAGCUCUGAUGUCCCUCGGCGGCUUCCUUCAUUUUUCUCUUUGUUGUUAUUGGGGAAAUACUGUACGUUCAGGAGAAUUAAAAGCCCUUUCAUCGCUGAAAUGAAGCUCCAUCUGUCUGGAAUCUGGCAUUAAACGGACCUGCAGGCUAAAACAUCUGACAGCUAGUUUCACUUUCUGUUAAACAGCGAUAUCAGUGGGACACACUUAACACGGAAAUACCUCUCCAGAUCAAAGGAAAAGAUCCGUUUAAUCUUCUACAGGUGAUCAAUAGAGAAGAACCAGGUUUCUCCUCCUUCCUUUAUUUCUCCCCCUUGUCCCCAAAUUGGCCUUUUAAUCCCUCUCCGUGUGUCGGACUGACAUCAGGCCACUCUGCUCUGAUGUCUUCAAGCUGACGUGUGAAUCAAGAGGUUCCCCCAGCUCCUUCACCGGCCUUUGACCCCAUGUUGCCCCUUCCCUGACACUGGCUAAAGAGAAGUCGGCGCCACGCCUCACUGAGUCCAUCUGAUGCGUGUGGAAACAAAUUCUUAAAAGCAGCGUGAAUAUGAGAGGAAGCCUGCCUGUCUGUCUGCUGAGGAGCCCCUCUGCUAAACAUUUCAGCAACCAAGGAGUCUCUCCCUCUCCUACCCAAUUACUCCAGAACAUUAAAGCCCACCUCCGUCACAUUAAAGCUGAAAGGCAGGGAGGAGAAGGAGGAGGUGGUGGAGGAGGGUGAAGGAGGGAUGGGUUUUUUUUAAUAGGAAACUGCACAAGAGAUUUUGGAUUAUUCCUUUAAGUAAGAACACACAAAUCUUAGAUUUUUCAACAGAGAGAAUGAGUGUGGUUUGGGUGUAGCAGCCAGCAUGACGGGAUGAUGUUGCUGUGUUUUUAUGCAGGCGGGUGGAUGGGCGGAGUUUGGGAUGGUUAAGGGAAAAAAAGGGUGGGGGUAGGGAGAGAGGAGAAUCUGUCAGCCGAAUGAGAAGAUGAAGAUUUGACAGAGAGGCGACAGAGAGUUCAGCUCAUACGAGGCCUGUCGAUUAGUGCGUUUGUGGCUGACAGGUGGAAUCCCAGGGGCGCAUCUGUCACUGCGUCUGCUGCCAGGCCCGGCCGCUACACCACCACCACCAACACCACCAGCAGCAGCACAGAAGACUCCAUGAUAGGCGGGGAUAUGCUGCAGACUCAGAGGCAGCUGAUUGGCCCAGUGCAGUAGCCCUGGCCUCCCCGUCCGAGCUCAGAUUAAAGCUUUAUUGUACCCAGAAAGCAGGGCGAAAGUCAUGUUAAUCCUCCUCUAAUACAUCACUGUCAGUGAUCUGAUUUUACAACACAAUCGAAACACGCUUCCUGGAAACAGCAUUAAUCUGACAUCUGAAAUAGUAUUUUUUGUUUGUUUGUCGCAGUGGUGUUUUUGACUCUGAAAAGCACAGAGGGCCUCUUCUGUUGCUAUGAUCCAUUAAGAUGCAAAUCUUCCUUUAUGAAAAGUUUUUUUUGUAUUAUUUGAAUGAAAAGGCAACUGGGCCAAAAGGAAAAAUCAUACUGGGAGUGAAUGAAAUCAUGCCAGCAAUUAAAUCAGACACUAUGGUGAAGUCAGAGGAGACCAGAGAUAAAAGUAGGCCACAGUGAUUUCUCUGAGGAUGUUUUUAAUAUCAGAUUAUCUAAUGAAAUUAGUCCCAGGCUCUGAAUACAGGAACACAUGGUCAGAGUUGGGUUUGGUGAAAAAAAGGCAGUCUUAAAAAUUGGCUUGAUAGUUAGUGCUGUGUAACAUUUAUAUUUUUUUUAUUAGAUUUAAAGUCCAGGAUAAUUGAUACACUGUCAGUUUUAUUUACAAUUCAUAUCAGUUUUACAUCAGAAAGAAACAAAAAAAAACUUUAAAGGAACCUGCACAUGUACCAGAUACAUUAAACUGUAGGACAAUAAACAAGAACUAUGACAGUAUUCUACAUGCUUUUAUAAAAUCUCAACCCCUUAAGAGUUGGGAAGCUGUGUAUAAUGUUGAUUGUCAUAAACAGUUUGAUUAAAAGAGAUCCUAAUGCUUUAAAAAAAACCUUUAAAGCCUAUAUUUAAUUGAAAAUUGUGCAAAGACAACAUAUCAAAUGUUGAAAGUAAGAAAAUGUAUUGUUUUAUGAAAAAAGAUAAGAAUAGUUUGGUUCCAACAACAUUUUUCUAAGGAUUGGGGCAUGGACUGCAAAACACUGAAAAACUUAUAUAGUGCUAAAAAUAAAAAUGAAAAUCUGGAAAAAACAUCUCCUUACUGAUAACAUUAAUUUGCAACAGGUUAGUAACAUGACUGGAAAAGACGGUAUAGAGAGGCGGAGUCUCAGGAGUAAAGAUGGGAAGAGGUUCACCACUCAGUGGGAGACUGAGCAAAUAGUUCAACAAUUAUAGAAUAAUGUUCCUCAGAGUUAAACCUCUAAAGACUUUGUGGAUUUCAUCAUCUAAAGUGCAUAAUAUCAUAAAAUAUUCAGAGACAUCUUUGUACAAAAGAGUUGAGGCCAAACACCAAUACUGGAUGGCUGUGAUCUUCAGACUCUCAGGCGGCACUUUGUCAGAAACAGACAUGACUCUGUCGUGGAACUCACUGCAUUGGCUGAAAAUCACUUUCAAAAGCCUAAGUCUGUGAACACAGUUUGUCCCUGCAUCAAAAAUGAAGAUUAAAACUGAACCAUGAAAAGAGGAAAACAUUUUUAAACAUGAUCCAAAAACACUAGUGACUCCUCUGGGCCCAAGGCCGUUGAAGAUUGACUGAGGCGAAGUGGAAAACUGUCCAGUGGUCUGAAAAAUCCAAAUUUGACAUUCCUUUUGGAAAUCAUGGAGGCUUCAUCCUUCACUCUGGAGAGGGAAGGGACCGCCCAGCUUGUCGUCAGGGUACAGGCAUCAUGAAAUGAUACAUGACAAAAAGUCCCUCAAACGAUUGAGCAGCUAUAUCAAGAAUGGGACAACAUUUCACUUUCUAAACUCCAGAAACUGGUCUCUGGUCUCGAGUGUUGUUAAAAGAAGAGGUGAUGCAACACAAUGCUAAACAUACAGAUGUAACUGUACAGUGAUUAGAAUGUACUCAACUAUUUCACAGGAUAUUUCAUGCCAGAUGUCUUUGAUUAAAUUGGUUCACUUGGUUGCUUCAAAACUCUUCUAACACUUUAAUGUGUUUGAAAGGAUGGAAAAGUGUGACCUACUGCAUGUCACAUCAGGCUCCAGGAAGUAUUAUAAACAAUUAUAGAUUAUUCAUGGUUUAUAGAUUAAAUAAAAAAACGGUAUCACAAAAAGAAGGAAUACAUCUCCAUCAACCUGUAGAAGGGGAAAUAUUUGUCUAAAAGAUUUUAUCACUGAUGUUUUUCAGUGUAAUAGACAUUAGGGAAAGCUGCUUUCCUUGCAGUGUCCUUAAUUCCUGCAUCUACUUCUGAAUAUCCAAGGUCAGUUUAGCUGUUGUUACAAAAGUUCCAAGAAUAUCGGUUGUACUGCAUUUUUUAUAUAUUUAACACCAUUU